UAGAGUUUGAUCAUGGCUCAGAGCGAACGCUGGCGGCAGGCCUAACACAUGCAAGUCGAACGGACCCUUCGGGGUUAGUGGCGGACGGGUGAGUAACACGUGGGAACGUGCCUUUAGGUUCGGAAUAGCUCCUGGAAACGGGUGGUAAUGCCGAAUGUGCCCUUCGGGGGAAAGAUUUAUCGCCUUUAGAGCGGCCCGCGUCUGAUUAGCUAGUUGGUGAGGUAACGGCUCACCAAGGCGACGAUCAGUAGCUGGUCUGAGAGGAUGACCAGCCACACUGGGACUGAGACACGGCCCAGACUCCUACGGGAGGCAGCA
RNAcentral lists this ribosomal RNA (318 nucleotides) under uncultured Pseudomonas sp. FR005. RNAcentral describes it as "bacterial SSU rRNA". It matches the Rfam family "Bacterial small subunit ribosomal RNA", at positions 1 to 353 of the family's 1533-position model. Lineage: Bacteria; Pseudomonadati; Pseudomonadota; Gammaproteobacteria; Pseudomonadales; Pseudomonadaceae. The record is from RNAcentral.